RNAcentral lists this ribosomal RNA (841 nucleotides) under Rhodococcus sp. (in: high G+C Gram-positive bacteria). RNAcentral describes it as "bacterial SSU rRNA". It matches the Rfam family "Bacterial small subunit ribosomal RNA", at positions 19 to 873 of the family's 1533-position model. Lineage: Bacteria; Bacillati; Actinomycetota; Actinomycetes; Mycobacteriales; Nocardiaceae. The record is from RNAcentral.
UCUGCUCAGGACGAACGCUGGCGGCGUGCUUAACACAUGCAAGUCGAGCGGUAAGGCCCUUUCGGGGUACACGAGCGGCGAACGGGUGAGUAACACGUGGGUGAUCUGCCCUGCACUCUGGGAUAAGCUUGGGAAACUGGGUCUAAUACCGGAUAUGACCACAUGCCGCAUGGUGUGUGGUGGAAAGAUUUAUCGGUGCAGGAUGGGCCCGCGGCCUAUCAGCUUGUUGGUGGGGUAAUGGCCUACCAAGGCGACGACGGGUAGCCGACCUGAGAGGGUGACCGGCCACACUGGGACUGAGACACGGCCCAGACUCCUACGGGAGGCAGCAGUGGGGAAUAUUGCACAAUGGGCGGAAGCCUGAUGCAGCGACGCCGCGUGAGGGAUGAAGGCCUUCGGGUUGUAAACCUCUUUCAGCAGGGACGAAGCGUGAGUGACGGUACCUGCAGAAGAAGCACCGGCUAACUACGUGCCAGCAGCCGCGGUAAUACGUAGGGUGCGAGCGUUGUCCGGAAUUACUGGGCGUAAAGAGUUCGUAGGCGGUUUGUCGCGUCGUUUGUGAAAACCCGGGGCUCAACUUCGGGCUUGCAGGCGAUACGGGCAGACUUGAGUGUUUCAGGGGAGACUGGAAUUCCUGGUGUAGCGGUGAAAUGCGCAGAUAUCAGGAGGAACACCGGUGGCGAAGGCGGGUCUCUGGGAAACAACUGACGCUGAGGAACGAAAGCGUGGGUAGCAAACAGGAUUAGAUACCCUGGUAGUCCACGCCGUAAACGGUGGGCGCUAGGUGUGGGUUCCUUCCACGGGAUCUGUGCCGUAGCUAACGCAUUAAGCGCCCCCCGCC